Molecule: ribosomal RNA, 426 nt
Filed under: uncultured bacterium
Lineage: Bacteria
Description: bacterial SSU rRNA
Rfam family: Bacterial small subunit ribosomal RNA
Source: RNAcentral
GCAAGGAAUUUUGUGCAAUGGGCGAAAGCCUGACACAGCGACGCCGCGUGAGGGAUGAAGGUCUUCGGAUCGUAAACCUCUUUUCUCAGGGAAGAAUAAUGACGGUACCUGAGGAAUAAGUCUCGGCCAACUACGUGCCAGCAGCAGCGGUAAUACGUAGGAGACGAGCGUUAUCCGGAUUUACUGGGCGUAAAGUGGGUGUAGGCGGUUCUUCAAGUCGAGUGUAAAAUCUCCUGGCUUAACUGGGAGGGACCAUUCGAUACUGUUGAACUAGAGGGCAGCAGAGGGAGGCGGAAUUCCCGGUGUAGUGGUGAAAUGCGUAGAUAUCGGGAGGAACACCAGUGGCGAAGGCGGCCUCCUAGGUUGUUUCUGACGCUGAGGCCCGAAAGCGUGGGGAGCGAACAGGAUUAGAAACCCUAGUAGUCC